AACGAACGCUGGCGGCAUGCCUAACACAUGCAAGUCGAACGAGACCUUCGGGUCUAGUGGCGCACGGGUGCGUAACGCGUGGGAACCUGCCCUUAGGUUCGGAAUAACUCCCCGAAAGGGGUGCUAAUACCGGAUAAUGUCUUCGGACCAAAGAUUUAUCGCCUUUGGAUGGGCCCGCGUUGGAUUAGCUAGUUGGUAGGGUAAAAGCCUACCAAGGCGACGAUCCAUAGCUGGUCUGAGAGGAUGAUCAGCCACACUGGGACUGAGACACGGCCCAGUCUCCUACGGGAGGCAGCAGUGGGGAAUAUUGGACAAUGGGCGAAAGCCUGAUCCAGCAAUGCCGCGUGAGUGAUGAAGGCGUUAGGGUUGUAAAGCUCUUUUACCCGGGAUGAUAAUGACAGUACCGGGAGAAUAAGCUCCGGCUAACUCCGUG
This 433-nucleotide ribosomal RNA is filed under the name uncultured bacterium. RNAcentral's name for it is "partial 16S ribosomal RNA". It matches the Rfam family "Bacterial small subunit ribosomal RNA", at positions 29 to 507 of the family's 1533-position model. The record is from RNAcentral.